RNAcentral lists this ribosomal RNA (496 nucleotides) under uncultured bacterium. Its description in RNAcentral is "partial 16S ribosomal RNA". It matches the Rfam family "Bacterial small subunit ribosomal RNA", at positions 29 to 507 of the family's 1533-position model. The record is from RNAcentral.
AUGAACGCUGGCGGCGUGCCUAAUACAUGCCAGUCGAGCGAACGGACGAGAAGCUUGCUUCUCUGAUGUUAGCGGCGGACGGGUGAGUAACACGUGGAUAACCUACCUAUAAGACUGGGAUAACUUCGGGAAACCGUAGCUAAUACCGGAUAAUAUUUUGAACCGCAUGGUUCAAAAGUGAAAGACGGUCUUGCUGUCACUUAUAGAUGGAUCCGCGCUGCAUUAGCUAGUUGGUAAGGUAACGGCUUACCAAGGCAACGAUGCAUAGCCGACCUGAGAGGGUGAUCGGCCACACUGGAACUGAGACACGGUCCAGACUCCUACGGGAGGCAGCAGUAGGGAAUCUUCCGCAAUGGGCGAAAGCCUGACGGAGCAACGCCGCGUGAGUGAUGAAGGUCUUCGGAUCGUAAAACUCUGUUAUUAGGGAAGAACAUAUGUGUAAGUAACUGUGCACAUCUUGAAGGUACCUAAUCAGAAAGCCACGGCUAACUACGUG